CAUUGGAACCGGAGAAGUCCACAUGCACUUCCCCUCUGAGAAGGUACGCCGCUAUUUUACUAACCCUAACUAUAUAGUUAAAGACCCUAAGCAGGUCAGGACAAGAAGAAGAAGACGCAACUGCAACCAGAGGAGGCAAAUCAUCAAGGACGGAUGGGCAGACUACGAAGGAGACGUAGUAAGGUUUGAAGACAUACAACUUGAACAAAACUGUCCUGAGGAGACCGUAGCACCGAGUCAGGUGUGCAGAGAGAAGAUAGUUAUACACGAAGAGGAGGCACCGCCGGAACCACCGACUACGCCAUCUAGCAAAUCCCA
Molecule: long non-coding RNA, 318 nt
Filed under: Sorghum bicolor (sorghum)
Lineage: Eukaryota; Viridiplantae; Streptophyta; Magnoliopsida; Poales; Poaceae
Description: long non-coding RNA (SBIC_LNC018183)
Source: RNAcentral